This 837-nucleotide ribosomal RNA is filed under the name Helvella submacropus. RNAcentral's name for it is "eukaryotic LSU rRNA". It matches the Rfam family "Eukaryotic large subunit ribosomal RNA", at positions 81 to 929 of the family's 3401-position model. Lineage: Eukaryota; Fungi; Ascomycota; Pezizomycetes; Pezizales; Helvellaceae. The record is from RNAcentral.
CAGUAACGGCGAGUGAAGCGGCAGCAGCUCAAAUUUGAAAUCUGGGGUCCCCGACCUCCGAGUUGUAAUUUGGAGAGGCAUCUUCGGGGGGGAGCGCCGGCCCAUGUUCCUUGGGACAGGACGUCACAGAGGGUGAGAAUCCCGUGCCUGGCCGGCUGCCUCCUCUCGGGUGGAGGGCCUUCGACGAGUCGAGUUGUUUGGGAAUGCAGCUCCAAGUGGGUGGUAAAUUUCAUCUAAAGCUAAAUACCGGCGGGAGACCGAUAGCGCACAAGUAGAGUGAUCGAAAGAUGAAAAGCACUUUGAAAAUAGAGUCAAAAAGUACGUGAAAUUGUUGAAAGGGAAGCGCUUGAGACCAGACUCGGGCCCGGGCAAACAUCGCGCCCCUCGGGGCCGUGCAAUUGUCCGGGCCUGGGCCAGCAUCAGUUGGCGUGGCGGGACAAAGGCGCGGGGAAUGUGGCUCCCCUCGGGGAGUGUUAUCAGGCCCGCGCUCAAUGCCGCCGACGUCGACUGAGGACCGCGCCUCGGCUAGGAUGCUGGCUUAAUGGCCUUCAGCGACCCGUCUUGAAACACGGACCAAGGAGUCUAACAUCUAUGCGAGUGUUUGGGCGACAAACCCUUGCGCGGAAUGAAAGUGAGCGGAGGUGGGAACCCCCCAGCGGGGCGCACCAUCGACCGAUCCUGAUGUCUUCGGAUGGAUUUGAGUAGGAGCAUAGCUGUUGGGACCCGAAAGAUGGUGAACUAUGCCUGAAUAGGGUGAAGCCAGAGGAAACUCUGGUGGAGGCUCGCAGCGGUUCUGACGUGCAAAUCGAUCGUCAAAUUUGGGUAUAGGGGCGAAAG